GUCAGGAUGGCCGAGUGGUCUAAGGCACUGCAUUCAGGUUGCAGUCUCCCGUGGAAGCAUGGGUUUGAAUCCCACUCCUGACA
This 83-nucleotide transfer RNA is filed under the name Trichechus manatus latirostris (Florida manatee). RNAcentral's name for it is "tRNA-Leu (CAG) (tRNA-Leu-CAG-4-1)". It matches the Rfam family "tRNA". Rfam says of the family: Transfer RNA (tRNA) molecules are approximately 80 nucleotides in length. Their secondary structure includes four short double-helical elements and three loops (D, anti-codon, and T loops). Further hydrogen bonds mediate the characteristic L-shaped molecular structure. tRNAs have two regions of fundamental functional importance: the anti-codon, which is responsible for specific mRNA codon recognition, and the 3' end, to which the tRNAs corresponding amino acid is attached (by aminoacyl-tRNA synthetases). tRNAs cope with the degeneracy of the genetic code in two manners: having more than one tRNA (with a specific anti-codon) for a particular amino acid; and 'wobble' base-pairing, i.e. permitting non-standard base-pairing at the 3rd anti-codon position. The record is from Rfam by way of RNAcentral. Lineage: Eukaryota; Metazoa; Chordata; Mammalia; Sirenia; Trichechidae.